Molecule: RNA transcript, 3047 nt
Organism: Nerophis ophidion (straightnose pipefish)
Lineage: Eukaryota; Metazoa; Chordata; Actinopteri; Syngnathiformes; Syngnathidae
Gene name: gastrula zinc finger protein XlCGF28.1-like
Exons: 3
Source: RefSeq, a predicted model, not a curated record
AGGAAGAACAAAACAAGAUGGCGUCUGACGGAGAAUACUUUUUUUGGGUUAUUAUGGUUUCUAGGUCUUAAUUACAACGUACAUGUGCACAUGUGUGUCGUUUAACAGAGUAAACGUCGUUAUUAAUUGUUUGUAUGCGGAUACAUUAGUCUGAGUGCACUUAUACGUGCUAGCCUAGCCUGCUGGUUAGCUUAGCUUGUUAGCUGCUAACAAAGAGAGGCGGAAGUGAUCGACACAUCAAAGCAGAGAUCCAAUACAUCUGUGAAGAACAUCUUCACCCUGAGCAACAGAAGUGGAAUUUCAGGAUGGAGCAACAGACCUCCCACAUUACAAAAGAAGAGGAACACCCACUGAUCCCCCAUUUUAAGGAGGAAGAAGAUGACCCACACACCACUGACAUCAAAGAGGAAGAGGAGGACCAGCUGAGCCCCCAUUUUAAAAAAGAAGAGGAGGACCCACUGACACCCCAUUUUAAAGAGGAAGAGGAAGACCCACUGACACCUCGUUUUAAAGAGGAAGCAUUAUAUCAACUGAGCCCUCACAUUAAGGAGGAAGUGGAUGAACCACUGACCCAUCACAUUAAAGAGGAAGAGGAGGACCCACUGACCCCUCCCAUUAAAGAGGAAGAGGAGGAACACAGCAUCAGUCAGCAGGGAGAGCAUCUUGAAGGACUGGAGGAGUUUACAGUGAUUAGUGUGAUUGUGAAGAGUGAAGGUGAUGAGGUCAAAGGUGAGAGUGAGGAGAGGGGAGGGGGGGAGCCUCCAAGCAGCAGCUCAACUCAACACAUGACAACAGAAGCUGAUGGAGACCACUGUGGAGGAUCACAAGCAGACAAGCUCUUAGCUCCACUAUCAGAUAGUGAGGACACAACGUCACACUCUCCUGACACUGAUGAUGAAGACUCUAAAGAUGAUAAGACAUGUCACACUGACAACACACACUUCACAUGUUCUCUCUGCGACAAAACUUUUAAUGACCGUCGCAAUAUGAAAAGACACAUGAGAAUACACACUGGAGAAAAACCUUUUUCAUGUUCAGUCUGCGGUAAAGGUUUUACUCUAAGUGACCAUUUCAAAGCACACAUGAGAAGACACACUGGAGAAAAACCUUUUUCGUGUUCAAUCUGUAGUAAAGGUUUUGUUCUAAAUCAACAGUUGAAAGUACACAUGAGAAGACACACUGGAGAAAAACCUUUUUCCUGCUCAGAAUGUGGUAAAAGUUUUGUAUUAAAUCAAAGUUUAAAAUUACACAUGAGAACACACACUGGAGAAAAACUUUUUUCAUGUUCAUGCUGCGGUAAAGAUUUUACUCGAAAGGACCAUUUCAAUAUACACAUGAGAAUACACACUGGAGAAAAAACGUUUUCCUGCUCAGAAUGUGGUAAAAGUUUUGUAAGAAAUCAAAGUUUAAAAGAACACAUGAGAAUACACACUGGAGAAAAAACAUUUUCCUGUUUAAAAUGUGGUAAAAGUUUUGUAAGAAAUCAAAAUUUAAAAGUACACAUGAAAACACACACUGGAGAAAAACCUUUUUCAUGUUCAAUCUGUGGUAAAGAUUUUACUCGAAGGGACCAUUUCAAAAAACACAUGAGAAUACACACUGGAGACAAAACUUUUUCCUGCUAAGAAUGUGGUAUAAGUGUUGUAAUAAAUUGUAGUUUAAAAGUACACAUGAGAACACACACUGGUGAAAAACCUUUUAUAUGUUCAGUAUGUGGUAAAAGUUAAAUAGAAAGGCAGGAAUUAAAACCACACAUGAGAAUGCACUCUAGUAAAAAAAACAUACUCCUGUUCAAGCUGCAACAAAAGCUUAUGUCACUUAGACACUCUUACGGUACACAUGAGAACACACACAGGUGAGAAAGUGUUGAGUUGCAGUGUGUGUGGUGAAAGAUUCUCUUCUAAGUCCCAGUGUAAGAAACACAAGUGUGCUGGUGAGAACAGCAGCAGCAAAUGAAGAUGCAGGAUUUGAAAUAAACUGUCAAAACUUGAACUUUGACUUUCUAACAACAUCAGCACAUAUAACAUGUGUGACAUCAUUGUUGUGUGUGUAACACAAUCUUGUUAAUAUGAUUAUAGAUUAGACACUUCAGAUUAGUGCUUUUAUUUCAGUCAAGUACAUGAGUUAAUAUACACAUUUGUGUACUUUAAAAUGAACACAACAAUUUGACUGAAAAGGUGAAAAUAAACACUACAUAAAAUAUGUCACAUACAAUAAACAUUUUCAUUUUAGGUAUUCAUAAUUCACUUUUAUAUUUAUUCAUAAUAGUGUUUUUUUAAAUAAUGAUAUGUUGCAUAUUUUGUUUUCUAAUUGUAGAUUCCAUAGAUGAACUCCUUUAUAUGAUGUACAUAUUUGUUUUACAUGUGUUCAUACCUUUGCUUUUGAGUACACACAACUCACCUACUCAGUGGCCUAGUGGUUAGAGUGUCCGCCCUGAUAUCGGUAGGUUGGGAGUUCAAACCCCGGCCGAGUCAUACCAAACACUAUAAAAAUGGGACCUAUUGCCUCCCUGCUUGGCACUCAGCAGCAAGGGCUGGAAUUGGGGGUUAAAUCACCAUACAUGAUUCCCGGACGCGGCAUUGCUGCUGCCCACUGCUCCCCUCACUUCCCAGGGGGUGAUCUAAGGGAUGGGUCAAAUAAAGAGGACAAAUUUCACCACACCUAGUGUGUGUUUGACAGUCAUUGUGACAAUCAUCGAUUCCAUAGAUGAACUCCUUUAUAUGAUGUACAUAUUUGUUUUACAUGUGUUCAUACCUUUGCUUUUGAGUACACAUAAAUCCCUCUUAGUUCAUAUUUACUGGUUCACAUCUGAAACAUCUUCUGGACCACUUCUGGAAGCAUAUUAUUAUUUACUUUAUACAUCGUUUGAACAGUUGUCUUAUGCAAUUUUAAAAUGUGUGACUUUAUCAAUCAUUUGUUUGGUCUCCUUAGUCCAUUCUAUUAAUUGUGUUUAUUACUCUCUUGUGUAAUAUGAAUAUUGUAGUGUGAUUGUUUUAUAUGUAUGUCCCCAGACCUUUAUGCAAUAAACAAUGUAUGCUUCAACUAAA